Molecule: ribosomal RNA, 449 nt
Filed under: uncultured bacterium
Lineage: Bacteria
Description: partial 16S ribosomal RNA
Rfam family: Bacterial small subunit ribosomal RNA
Source: RNAcentral
AACGAACGCUGGCGGCAGGCCUAACACAUGCAAGUCGAACGCUGCAGCAAUGCAGAGUGGCAGACGGGUGAGUAACGCGUGGGAACCUUCCCAAUGGUACGGAAUAGCCCAGGGAAACUUGGGGUAAUACCGUAUAAGCCCCAUGGGGGGAAGAUUUAUCGCCAUUGGAUGGGCCCGCGUCGGAUUAGCUAGUUGGUGAGGUAACGGCUCACCAAGGCGACGAUCCGUAGCUGGUUUGAGAGAAUGACCAGCCACACUGGGACCGAGACACGGCCCAGACUCCUACGGGAGGCAGCAGUGGGGAAUCUUGGACAAUGGGCGAAAGCCUGAUCCAGCCAUGCCGCGUGAGUGACGAAGGCCUUAGGGUUGUAAAGCUCUUUUGGCGGGGACGAUAAUGACGGUACCCGCAGAAUAAGUCCCGGCUAACUUCGUGCCAGCCGCCGCGGUAA